This 253-nucleotide ribosomal RNA is filed under the name uncultured bacterium. RNAcentral describes it as "partial 16S ribosomal RNA". It matches the Rfam family "Bacterial small subunit ribosomal RNA", at positions 524 to 776 of the family's 1533-position model. The record is from RNAcentral.
UACGUAGGGGGCAAGCGUUGUCCGGAAUCAUUGGGCGUAAAGCGCGCGUAGGCGGCCCGGUAAGUCCGUUGUGAAAGUCGAAGGCUCAACCUUCGAAUGCCGAUGGAUACUGCCGGGCUAGAGUACGGAAGAGGCGAGUGGAAUUCCUGGUGUAGCGGUGGAAUGCGCAGAUAUCAGGAGGAACACCAAUAGCGAAGGCAGCUCGCUGGGACGUUACUGACGCUGAGGCGCGAAAGCGUGGGGAGCGAACAGG